UUUGGGUUACACUUACUUGAAGGUAUCUACAUAAGAGUGACAUGACACUGUCAUGAACGUGUCAAACAUAAAUGAGUCAAACAUUUAUGAUAUAAUGCUGCUUUUAGUGUCAUUCGGUUUUUUGUCAUGACUAGUUAUG
Sander lucioperca (pikeperch) is the source of this 139-nucleotide long non-coding RNA. RefSeq lists it as uncharacterized. The transcript is spliced from 3 exons. NCBI's taxonomy places the organism in Eukaryota, Metazoa, Chordata, Actinopteri, Perciformes, Percidae. The record is from RefSeq and is a predicted model, not a curated record.